GGGGCCGUAGCUCAGCGGGAGAGCACCCGCCUUGCACGCGGGGGGUCAGGGGUUCGAAUCCCCUUGGCUCCA
This 72-nucleotide transfer RNA is filed under the name Pseudomonadota bacterium. Its description in RNAcentral is "tRNA-Ala". It matches the Rfam family "tRNA". Rfam says of the family: Transfer RNA (tRNA) molecules are approximately 80 nucleotides in length. Their secondary structure includes four short double-helical elements and three loops (D, anti-codon, and T loops). Lineage: Bacteria; Pseudomonadati; Pseudomonadota. The record is from RNAcentral. RNAcentral also lists the same sequence under 1 other name.